CUCGUAGGCGGCCAACUAAGUCGGACGUGAAAUCCCCAGGCUCAACCUGGGAACUGCGUCCGAUACUGGAUGGCUUGAAUUCGGGAGAGGGAUGCAGAAUUCCAGGUGUAGCGGUGAAAUGCGUAGAUAUCUGGAGGAAUACCGGUGGCGAAGGCGGCAUCCUGGACCGACAUUGACGCUGAUGAGCGAAAGCAAGGGGAGCAAACG
Molecule: ribosomal RNA, 207 nt
Filed under: uncultured bacterium
Lineage: Bacteria
Description: partial 16S ribosomal RNA
Rfam family: Bacterial small subunit ribosomal RNA
Source: RNAcentral